This is a long non-coding RNA of Oryzias sinensis (Chinese medaka), 4312 nucleotides long. The record is from Ensembl. NCBI's taxonomy places the organism in Eukaryota, Metazoa, Chordata, Actinopteri, Beloniformes, Adrianichthyidae.
CAAUUGUUCAUUUCUGUCAUAAAUAAAGCAGGUAAAAAGAAAUUCAGGUCACAUUUGUUGUGUCCAGGUGACCCCCAGCUGCCCUCACCUGCUUCCCCAGACAGCUGCCGUCCUUGAGCAGGUCGUACACUCUGUGAGCUUUCUCUCUCUGCUUUGCGGCCUGUGGAUCCUGGCCAGGCAGCGCAAAGUACGGCAGAAUGUUGACCAUGAUUUUGGGGAAGCAGUUGGCUAACAAAAGCCUCCAGUCCUUCUCCAGGCACCUGCCGAUGGACUUCACCUGCUCAAAGUCGUCUAAGAAGACCAAGCGGGGGAUCAGCACCUGGAAGAAGGCAAGAUGAGAGGAACCACUGCACCUUUGCUUUAAAGAAGAGCCGGGAGCAGCAGGCCUCGUCCUGAGUCACACAUCCCGUAGAGACGUAGCCCGCCAGAACACCGAUCAGCAGAGCACAACAGCGCACCAAGCACUCCGGAGGAACGGACGGAGACUGCCGGGUUCAAAAUAGGAGUUUCUGACCAAACCAGCAGACAGAAUAAAUAAAUAAAGCCUCUACUCACAUCAGGAGAAUAACAGUUGAGCAGGCUGUCCGCCACAGAAAGCACAAGCUGUUCCAGCUUGUUUCGGAGGCUGAGGACGGCGGGAAACUGACAGUCGGCUGACGGCGCCGGCUCGUUGGCACGUGCUGGGAUCUCUGACGCAUUAAAGCUAAAGUGCAGACCCAGAGAAGAGUUUCCAGAACUCUCGGUCUACAUUCACCAGCCCGCCGUGCACAAUGGAGGCCAGCAGAUCCAGGCUGAGAGACUCUGUGUGGGGUGAGCCGACACCUCGCACACCGAGGGCCCAAAUCCGAGCCCAGAGCCGGUCAAGCUCCGCCUUGUGGGCCUGGGCUUUGUGCGGGCAGCAGGCCUGGCAGAGUGCCACCUCCCUCAGGCAGCGCAGCACAUACAGGCUCCUCUCACCUCUGCGCUGCUCUGCUAGGAGCUGGUGCAACGCCGACAGCAGUGGAACCAGCUCCCGCCUGGGCACCGUAGACGAGUACUUACAGGGAUGAUGUCAAAGUCAUCGGAUUGAGGCUGCAGACGUUCACGGAGCACUUCCCAGCCCAUUUCAAUGCGCCGACGUUUACUGGCUGCACCGUGGGAGGGACUUCCCAUCUGCGUGGCCCUGUGGGGGGCCUGCGUGACCUCCAACGUAUGGCUCCCACUGUCAUCAGUGAACAGCUACAGCAAACCAGCAGCAAAGGAUUAUUGAAACAAAACAAAAAAAGAGGAUAGACAAAACUUGCUUUAAGACCCACUAUGAUAAAAAUGUUGUUUGUGGUGUUUUUUUACAUGACGGAGGAGGUGUAGACUGAAAAUUAAGCUUAAAUAGCAUUUUCUGAGUAUUUCUUUAUUAAAAUAGUUGUGGAACAGGAGCAGAAGAAAACACUCUGUUAGAGUGACGUGGAAAAUACGCCGGGCGCCGUAUCUGAUGGAUCCUUGUGUAGACAAAUAGAUCAAUGUAAGUCUUCUUGCUCGUCUGAGCUUGAAUCUGGAUCAAAACUGUACGGCUGGAAAAUUACAAUAUUGGUCGAAAUUUUGUGUUGCAGUGGCAAUGUUAGGCCUUGGGUGUGAGGGGCUGUAAGCAUAAGCAGAGAGCUCUCAGUAACAGGGAAGGGGAGCAGGCUCCACGCCAACCGUCCCGCCCACAGCUCAGACGUGAAUUUCUAAUGAACUACUGCUGCUCUGCAGAAACUAUGUCCUAGAAAACAACACAGGCUUUUUUUUAGGUUUGGGUCAAAACAACAAUGCUUUUCCAACAGACGGGACUUCAUGAUUGAUCUGGAAAUGAGAGCAGCAACUGCUUACCUGGUGACAGAUGUCAGCCGUGAGCUCGAUCAGAUUGUCUUUGACAGCUACGUGUCGGCUCCCUGUGGCGUACUUCCCUCUGCUGCCUAUCUGGCUGAUUUCUCUGACUAAGGAGUCGUACAGGCUGUACAGCAGACCACGCCACUUCGUCCAGUCUUCAGCGUGAGCACCUACAGCAACAAGAACCCAACAAACACUGGCUUUGUGCCCUUUGGUUCUUUGCAGUUGGAGCCAACAUACUUGAUUAAAUGUGUUUACAAAACAUGUCUUACUAUUUCUACAUUCUCUUCUAAUUCAAAACAUCAGUUUUCCUUGUAGUUUUAAUUUUGGGGAAUAAAUGGGAAACAUUGCUCCACCUGUGUCGUGUGUUUUGGCUCCUUUAGGGUGGUGAACACAGAUCUGGAGGUUCAAAAAGUCCACAAUCUCCUCUUUGAGUGGUGCACUUGGCCUCAUAUCUGCCCACACAUACAGCACAGAGGGCAGCAGCUCCUCCCCCAGGCCACACGCUCUCAUCCUGCAGUUGACGGCCGCCGACCUCAGGAAGACGUUCAGAGCUGAGACUAAAUGCUCCAAGACCGGAAGGUGUUUCUCCUGCCUGCAGUUGUGUGAGGAAACUUUAGAAACUUUACCACAGCACAGCUGAAGAACAUUGCAUUUGACAUUUCACCUGGCAUUAAGCAGAGCUUUGGUGAAAAAGCCGAACAGAGCGUCAGUGAAGGCGUCGGUCUGCGUGCAGCAGCCCCGCACCAACGUGUGGAUGACUCUGCUGAGCAACACACGGUUGAUGGAUCUGGAGGAAGAGUUAAAAAAGCCACAGUACAAAUCCAACAGACCUAUGAGGAAAAACGAAGAACAAGAAAAUGAUAUGUAGAAUUCUGGAGAAUAGAGCCGACAAAGCAAAACUUUCCAGAAAUGGAGUUAAAAAUGCUUCCGCACUCUGCCACUGCUUCUGAGAGAUGUCACACCAGUACUUGCGGACGGUGAGGAUGUCCUUUAAAAGGAUGCUGCUGUAAUUUUCUCCGUACGCUGUGCAGCAGUGGGAGCUCUGCAGAACCUCCGUCACGUGUUUCAGCAGCUCGCCGCAAUUCAGACGAGGCCCGCCUGCAAAAAAAACACAUAAGUAAAACCAAAUUCUGACUAGCGUCUACUCAAAAACUUUAUUUAAGCCCCACUCCGAUCAUCUUUUGAUCUAUUUUUAAAGCGUUCCCAGUGGUCUUUUAAUUAUGACUAAGCCGUUUUCAACCAAAAUCAAUGUUGUUUUCUAGGUUAUACUUUCUGUACUUUAAAGCUUAAUUUUCUUUAUGCAUGUCCUCCAUCAUGAGAAUAUGUUUAAACCCCAAUUUUCAUUAAAGUUAUUCUUUAAGCAGUAGGGAACAAAAGAUGUGUGUCUACAAUCAUUAUUGAAACAUUUUUUUAUUAUUAUGCCAAACAACAGCUUGGACUGCAGAGUGUGGCCCUUACGUUUGUUUGCAUAACGAAUAAAGUACUUAAUCAAGCUGCACACUUCAGCCAUCUUCUUCUGCCGUAUAGCCAGCGUGGUUGCCGUCACAUUGGAUCUACUUGAUUGAAUACUUUCCAUCUCCUUCUGGACAUAAUGCUGCAGGAACCUGGUCCAGGAAAAAUGCAGUGAUACACAUUAGAAGAACAGAAUCUUAGAAGAAUUUUAUAGAUUAAGUAAGGGUUAAUGGCCUUCAAAGUGUGCGUUAUUACUUUUUAACGCACGCCUUGGAAGCCUGAACCGUCCGACGCGAAGUGCGUUAAAAAGUGAUAAUGCACACUUCGAAGCCCAUUAACCCCAUGGUCACUUACAAAAGCAAUACAUAUUAACUAGUUUUUAGUCCUUAAUUCUUGAUUUUUUUUCCAAUUUGGAUCGCCUUUCUCGCAAAAAGCGGACUAUUUGUUACGUGAUGCGGAGCAUCGCUUUUUUCACACCACUGCUGCAGUCAAGAUUUGGCGAUAUAUAUAUGCUGAUCUUUCCGAUGGGUUGAAUAAAGCAUCAGUUCAUCUCUUACUGCUUGUUUUUGUCCAAAUGAUGAAGUAAAAUGUUGUUAUAAAGAAGCCGGCGCAGUGAUACAAAACAUUUAAGUUAGGUGACCGGAACUUCUUUCUUCACCAUGCGGUUAUCAGGUUUUAAUGCAUACCCAGCAGCCAAUCAGAAUCGAAUAUUCCCCCAGACCAUGGUAUAACCCGUGUUUAAACAUGGAGUUCACCUAAAAUGCGGGUUGAACCUGUGCACAAAAAAAUGUCACCAAAACCUUUUCUUCCAUAGUGGAGACUACCUGAAGACAUUGUCCCAUGUGAGCUGCCUGGAGCCUUUGGCUUUGGCCAAUGAGGCACAAUCCAGUUCUUGCAAAACUUCAGGAGAUCGAAGGAGCCGUCUGAAGUUUUCAGCUUCUUUCUGAUGGCACAAAACAAUGUCACUUAAGUAAGGGAUAAUGCCCCACAAGGUGUCCCUUAUCAGAAAAUA